AGCAGCCGCGGUAAUUCCAGCCCCAAUAGCGUAUAUUAAAGUUGUUGCAGUUAAAAAGCUCGUAGUUGAAUUUCGGGGUCAGUAGGUUGGUCAUGCCACUGGUAUGUACUGGCCUCACUGAUUCCUCCUUCCUGAUGAGCCGUAAUGCCAUUAAUUUGGUGUUGCGAGGAAUCUGGACUGUUACUUUGAAAAAAUUAGAGUGUUUAAAGCAAGCUAACGCUUGAAUACAUUAGCAUGGAAUAAUGAAAUAGGACGUUCGAUCCUAUUUUGUUGGUUUCUAGGAUUGACGUAAUGAUUAAUAGGGAUAGUUGGGGGCAUUAGUAUUCAAUUGUCAGAGGUGAAAUUCUUGGAUUUUAUUGAAGACUAACUACUGCGAAAGCAUUUGCCAAGGAUGUUUUCAUUAAUCAAGAACGAAAGUUAGGGGAUCGAAGACGAUCAGAUACCGUCGUAGUCUUAACCAUAAACUAUGCCGACUAGGGAUCGGAUGAUGUUAAUUUUUUAAUGUACUCA
Molecule: ribosomal RNA, 510 nt
Filed under: uncultured Glomeraceae
Lineage: Eukaryota; Fungi; Glomeromycota; Glomeromycetes; Glomerales; Glomeraceae
Description: SSU rRNA
Rfam family: Eukaryotic small subunit ribosomal RNA
Source: RNAcentral